RNAcentral lists this long non-coding RNA (551 nucleotides) under Brassica rapa (field mustard). RNAcentral's name for it is "long non-coding RNA (BRAP_LNC001391)". The record is from RNAcentral. Lineage: Eukaryota; Viridiplantae; Streptophyta; Magnoliopsida; Brassicales; Brassicaceae.
UUAGACUCGAUUAAGACUGCUAACCAGAAGGACUCAAUUUAUAUGAAGAAAAAUAGGUUGGUUGACAUCUAGCUCCUCGUGCAAGAUUACAUGCCUUUUUUUUCAAGUACUGGGUACAUGAGUAAUCGUGAAAGUUGUGAAAAUUUCCUUUGUCCGUCAAUUAUUUUUUUUUUUUUUGACAGCAAGAACAUUUACAGACUCACAUAGACUCCGUAAACCAUAGUGGCAACUCUGCAUCCAUGUGUAUGACGAACGACGGUUGUAUCCGAGCACUGCGUGCCAAGCGAUCCGCCAUUUUAUUGUCCGUCCUCGAAACAUGAACAAUUUCUGAGUUGGUGAAGCUUCUUCUCAAAAGCUUGAUAUCCUCCAGGUAACUUCCAAAUGCUGGUCAUUCCUCUGGUUCUAAAACCAUCUUCACCAGUUGAGAACAAUCCGUUGCAAACGUGACCUGAUAUUGUCUUAAGUUUUUCAUACAUUCCAUUGCCCAAGUCAAUGCCUCUAUCUCCGCAUGAAGAGGUGAUAAACUUGCCCUCACAUUCCUUGCCCCUAAC